Molecule: long non-coding RNA, 421 nt
Filed under: Setaria viridis
Lineage: Eukaryota; Viridiplantae; Streptophyta; Magnoliopsida; Poales; Poaceae
Description: long non-coding RNA (SVIR_LNC004744)
Source: RNAcentral
AUCUCAAUACACAGCAGCUGGUACCUGGCAGGGGUCGGUGGUACUUUUAAAGCUAGCGAACCCCAAUUGUCUGAUUUAAUUUUAAUGUAAAGCACAUUCUGAAAUUCCUCCAGGUUUCGUUUUUUUCAUACGUUUCACGAAUUUCAUUCCUAAGUUCAAAAUAAUAAUCCUCAAUUUCAUUUGAUCUAAUUGAAUAAGGGUGGUCAUAUCUGCGAAAGAUAUUUAUUGAAGUUGCUAACCCCAUAUCUGCUUUUGAUAAGUGCACCAUUUUGCCCAUACUUGUCCCCUAAGUAUCUCUGGACCUCUUUCAAACAAAUCAGAUGCUAUCAAGUAAAGAUUGAAACAUGAUGCAUCAUCUGUUUUCCUUUAGGUGUUAAAAAACCGCACGCAGCAGUCAAUUUUAGGUGCCAUCCUAGUCAGC